This 434-nucleotide ribosomal RNA is filed under the name uncultured Oscillospiraceae bacterium. Its description in RNAcentral is "bacterial SSU rRNA". It matches the Rfam family "Bacterial small subunit ribosomal RNA", at positions 341 to 792 of the family's 1533-position model. The record is from RNAcentral. Lineage: Bacteria; Bacillati; Bacillota; Clostridia; Eubacteriales; Oscillospiraceae.
ACGGAAGGCAGCAGUGGGGAAUAUUGGGCAAUGGGGGAAACCCUGACCCAGCAACGCCGCGUGAAGGAAGAAGGCCCUCGGGUUGUAAACUUCUUUUACCAGGGACGAUAAUGACGGUACCUGGAGAAAAAGCAACGGCUAACUACGUGCCAGCAGCCGCGGUAAUACGUAGGUUGCAAGCGUUGUCCGGAUUUACUGGGUGUAAAGGGCGUGUAGGCGGAACUGCAAGUCAGAUGUGAAAUCCCGGGGCUCAACCCCGGAACUGCAUUUGAAACUGUAGUCCUUGAGUAUUGGAGAGGCAAGCGGAAUUCCUAGUGUAGCGGUGAAAUGCGUAGAUAUUAGGAGGAACACCAGUGGCGAAGGCGGCUUGCUGGACGACAACUGACGCUGAGGCGCGAAAGCGUGGGGAGCAAACAGGAUUAGAUACCCUGGUA